UCGAGGGGCAGCAUGGUCUUAGCUUGCUAAGGCUGAUGGCGACCGGCGCACGGGUGAGUAACACGUAUCCAACCUGCCGUCUACUCUUGGCCAGCCUUCUGAAAGGAAGAUUAAUCCAGGAUGGGAUCAUGAGUUCACAUGUCCGCAUGAUUAAAGGUAUUUUCCGGUAGACGAUGGGGAUGCGUUCCAUUAGAUAGUAGGCGGGGUAACGGCCCACCUAGUCAACGAUGGAUAGGGGUUCUGAGAGGAAGGUCCCCCACAUUGGAACUGAGACACGGUCCAAACUCCUACGGGAGGCAGCAGUGAGGAAUAUUGGUCAAUGGGCGAUGGCCUGAACCAGCCAAGUAGCGUGAAGGAUGACUGCCCUAUGGGUUGUAAACUUCUUUUAUAAAGGAAUAAAGUCGGGUAUGCAUACCCGUUUGCAUGUACUUUAUGAAUAAGGAUCGGCUAACUCCGUGCCAGCAGCCGCGGUAAUACGGAGGAUCCGAGCGUUAUCCGGAUUUAUUGGGUUUAAAGGGAGCGUAGAUGGAUGUUUAAGUCAGUUGUGAAAGUUUGCGGCUCAACCGUAAAAUUGCAGUUGAUACUGGAUGUCUUGAGUGCAGUUGAGGCAGGCGGAAUUCGUGGUGUAGCGGUGAAAUGCUUAGCUAUCACGAAGAACUCCGAUUGCGAAGGCAGCCUGCUAAGCUGCAACUGACA
RNAcentral lists this ribosomal RNA (696 nucleotides) under uncultured Bacteroidales bacterium. RNAcentral's name for it is "bacterial SSU rRNA". It matches the Rfam family "Bacterial small subunit ribosomal RNA", at positions 62 to 745 of the family's 1533-position model. Lineage: Bacteria; Pseudomonadati; Bacteroidota; Bacteroidia; Bacteroidales. The record is from RNAcentral.